This 72-nucleotide transfer RNA is filed under the name Daphnia pulex (common water flea). It matches the Rfam family "tRNA". From Rfam's summary of the family: Transfer RNA (tRNA) molecules are approximately 80 nucleotides in length. Lineage: Eukaryota; Metazoa; Arthropoda; Branchiopoda; Diplostraca; Daphniidae. The record is from Rfam by way of RNAcentral.
UCCCAUAUUGUCUAGUGGUUAGGAUACCUGGCUCUCACCCAAUAGGCCAGGGUUCAAUUCCCGGGAUGAGAA